Molecule: ribosomal RNA, 349 nt
Filed under: Haemophilus influenzae
Lineage: Bacteria; Pseudomonadati; Pseudomonadota; Gammaproteobacteria; Pasteurellales; Pasteurellaceae
Description: bacterial SSU rRNA
Rfam family: Bacterial small subunit ribosomal RNA
Source: RNAcentral
AUCAUGGCCCUUACGAGUAGGGCUACACACGUGCUACAAUGGCGUAUACAGAGGGAAGCGAAGCUGCGAGGUGGAGCGAAUCUCAUAAAGUACGUCUAAGUCCGGAUUGGAGUCUGCAACUCGACUCCAUGAAGUCGGAAUCGCUAGUAAUCGCGAAUCAGAAUGUUGCGGUGAAUACGUUCCCGGGCCUUGUACACACCGCCCGUCACACCAUGGGAGUGGGUUGUACCAGAAGUAGAUAGCUUAACCUUUAGGAGGGCGUUUACCACGGUAUGAUUCAUGACUGGGGUGAAGUCGUAACAAGGUAACCGUAGGGGAACCUGCGGUUGGAUCACCUCCUUACCAAAGA